Molecule: ribosomal RNA, 272 nt
Filed under: Escherichia coli
Lineage: Bacteria; Pseudomonadati; Pseudomonadota; Gammaproteobacteria; Enterobacterales; Enterobacteriaceae
Also listed under: 1 other name
Description: partial 16S ribosomal RNA
Rfam family: Bacterial small subunit ribosomal RNA
Source: RNAcentral
AAAUUGAAGAGUUUGAUCAUGGCUCAGAUUGAACGCUGGCGGCAGGCCUAACACAUGCAAGUCGAACGGUAACAGGAAACAGCUUGCUGUUUCGCUGACGAGUGGCGGACGGGUGAGUAAUGUCUGGGAAACUGCCUGAUGGAGGGGGAUAACUACUGGAAACGGUAGCUAAUACCGCAUAACGUCGCAAGACCAAAGAGGGGGACCUUCGGGCCUCUUGCCAUCGGAUGUGCCCAGAUGGGAUUAGCUUGUUGGUGGGGUAAAGGCUCACC